RNAcentral lists this ribosomal RNA (279 nucleotides) under uncultured bacterium. RNAcentral describes it as "partial 16S ribosomal RNA". It matches the Rfam family "Bacterial small subunit ribosomal RNA", at positions 506 to 784 of the family's 1533-position model. The record is from RNAcentral.
UGCCAGCAGCCGCGGUAACACGGGGGGCGCAAGCGUUAUUCGGAAUUAUUGGGCGUAAAGGGCGCGUAGGCGGUCUUGUCGGUCAGAUGUGAAAGACCAGAGCUCAACUCUGGGCCUGCACCCGAAACUAUCUAGCUUGAGUAUGGGAGAGGCAAGUGGAAUUACCGGUGUAGCAGUAAAAUGCGUUAAUAUCGGUAGGAACACCAAUGGCGAAGGCAGCUUGCUGGAACAUUACUGACACUAAAUAGCGAAAGCGUAGGUAGCGAAUGGGAUUAGAUA